ACCUCUCUAGCCGCGAUUACUUUAUCGUGCAAAUCAUACUGGAUUGAAUCUGUAUUAAUAUUCCAAAAGUGUCCUCGCCAAUAAAUCGAAUUACAGAGGAAAAAAAAAUUAUCUCCCCCAGAAUAAUUCUUGCCCUAGUCGUGGGUUUCCAACAUACUUUUUCCGUCGAAGAACAAGGUAUAAAUUUGAUUUUUUCCCCAAUACUUCUUCCCUCUCCCCAUUAAUGAAGUGCUCUUAUUUUCUGGUUGUUGUAAAGCGUCGUAAUUGAAGAGGUGGGCGCAGUUCAGUCGGUCGUUGAAUAAUUUGGCAAUUUGGGUUUAGGGAUGAGUUGGAGAGAGAAGGAUUGAGAAUAACAGAUGGAGGGGUGUAUUGAAAUAUGGGAAAGAGCAGCACGAGGAAGGUGAGGACAUGUUUAUAGGGUAAAACAUAAUUGCAUAUUUAUUCAUUUGUAUCUGCAUAUUGGUUGAUCGUUUUGAUGCGUGUUCAACUGAUCCAACAACAACAACAACAACAACAACAACAACAACAACAACAACAACAACAACAACAACAACAACAACAACAACAACAACAAGUCCUCGUGUUGCACCCCACCCCACCUUUUUGUAUUUGAAAAUGUUUCUCUCUCUAGAAAAAACGCUCUGCCUUCUCUCUAGAAAGUUGUGUCUUUCCUACGAAGAUUUUGAUCGAUUUUAGCCAUUCAUAUAUUCGUUUUUCAUUUCAUUCAUUCUGGUUAGUUGAUCAUCGUUUCUUAUUGUCAUUUUAGUUCAAUUAUCCAUCGGUUUUGAGGUUUUCGUGCUCUUUGCAUAUAAUUUUCUCAAAAUUUGGUAGUGUUCUUUGUUUUUUUUCGUGUUUGUGUUUGGGUCAGCCGUAUUCUUGUGUUUUUGUGUCGUUUUUUGGUUGUUUCUCCUUCAUUUCAUUCGGUUUUAGGGCUGCUUUCAUUCCUUGUAAUCUCAGCCUCGUUUUUGCUUCCAUUCUUGGGCGUUUUUUGCUCGUUCUGCUUCUUUAAUUUCAGUUUUAGUGGAGGUUUGUUUCGUCCUCAUUUUGUUUAGUGUCUUGUCUUCGGUUUUUCGUGUCUCCGUCAUAUCUACGCCUUCUCUCAGUGGAGAUCUUCGAGUGGGUAGCUGCUGCUUGUGCCCGCAUGAAUCUAGACUCUCAUCUUGUCUUGGUUCCUCCUUUAAUUAGUGCAGCAAAUCAACAUCAUUCUAAAUCAGGACCUUCCUUUUCGGACGUGGUAAUUAUGGAAGAUUUCACCAAUCAAUCUUCCUUGAUUGUGGAAGCUGAAUCUUCUACACAAGGCAAGGUCGCCACAAUUCAAAUUUCACCAACCACUUUUCCCGCCCGUUCCACCUCACCCCUUGACUUGGCUAGAACUCCUCACCUCAGCCAACCACAAUUCGCCAAGUUUACACCACUUGCCAAAUCACCAUCCUAUGAGGAUUUUUCUAGCCUCAAACUACCGGUCCCUAAGCCCAUCUCAGCCCCUAACUCUCCUAAGAAAGGCCUAUCUUCCACUCUAAAACCGGCUCACGAUAAUAUUACUCAAAUUCGAGCCCAAAACCCUAAAACGGACCACCUAAACCCCAAUCUUGUGGCCCAAGCUGGUUUUAUGUCCAAUUCAAACACUAAAAAUGAUAUUUCUAUCCCUAUUUCUAAAUUGGACAAUCAUAAUCCGAAUUCCCAAUUCCAAACCCAAAAUCCCCAAUUAAAAAACCCCAAUCCCGAAAUUGAAACCCCUAAUCCCGAAAUUCAAAACCCAAAAUUCCAAUUCCCAACCAAAUCCUUUGCUGCUGCUGUACACGGUGAUCUCGGACCUCCAAUUGCUUCUUCUAAGGUUGAUCGUCGUCGUCACUUGCUCCACCGAGAAGAUAUCGCUCCAAUUGGGACAAUUAAAGUGAUAGAUGGCAAGAAUGUGCUCUAUUUCUCGAAAGAGGAGGUUGAUAAGAUGCUUGAGCCGUUAAAGUACACCUUGAUUGGUAAGUUUUCUCAUGGGAUACCUCACUACAAAGUUAUGGAGAAGUUUAUUUACGAUUUAAAGCCCCGCGGUUCCUUUGAGUUGCAUAAAUUGAAUUAUCGGCAUGUGUUGAUUCAAUUCUCGGUAUUAGAUGAUUAUUCUUUGCUUUUGAGAAGAUCGAUAUGCUAUAUUGAUGGGCUGCCCAUGCGUGUUUUUAAAUAUACUCCGGGCUUUAAUUUGAAAAACGAAACUUCUAUAGCGCCGGUCUGGGUUAAUGUGCCGGGAGUUCCUCCUUAUAUGUACAACCGGGAAGCUAUAUUCUUCCUUGCUUCUUCUAUUGGAAAUCCACUUGAGUUUGAUGAUUUUACAGCCGAUCGAAAGAAGCUAUCUGUUGCUCGAUUUUGUGUCGAAAUUGAUCUCUUGAAACCGAGGGUUGAACAAAUUCCGGUGAUGACUGGCUAUGAUGAUAUUGAGAUGAUUUCCUUGCCGGUAAACUACGAGAACGUCCCAAAAUUCUGCACGUUUUGUUCUCACCUGGGUCACUCGGUUGAAAAUUGUUAUAUGAAUGGAAAUGCUAAAAAACCGGAUUUUCCACCACCGCCACAACGGAUUCCCAAACCCACAGCCCCACCAAAGGAAAAACAAGUUUGGCGACGAGUUGAAAAGAGGAAAAAUGUUGUUGUUGAAAACAUGGAUAUUCCUAAAACAUCGGGGACAAAAUCAACUGAAAAUCCUAGUUUUUCUUAAGCUAUUGUGCGGACUACUGCCGAUAAUAUUAGUGAAGGAGAUUUUUGAGCAUUACAACCCCUUUGAAUUGUUGGAGAGUGGGGUUCAAGAGGAUAUAGAGGCUUCUCAUAUUCAACCGGAUGUUGCUUCCAAACAUGUUCCAAAAUCUUCGAAAAAGGGCCGAAAAAAUACUUCUAACACCAAACAACCGAUGAGUCCAGACCCUAUAGAUACUAUUGCCGAUGAUCAAGCAGCUGAUUUAGAUGAUAUGGAGGCCUUAUCCAUGUCCAAAAAAAAUCAGCAUGUGUCUCCCUCCAAAAAGAACAGAAAUCAAGCUUCUAGCUCCCGAACCGCAAAGGGGGCAGCCCUCUCAACCCCCUCUCUAUCACCUUCAGCCACUUCGGUGGCCAAGGAUGUUCCCCUUAAUCAUGGGGUACACGGACGAGAGGGGUCAGGACUUUCGGCGGGUACGGAUCCGAUUACACCUACGUCGGCUGCCUUAUUUUGCGAACACUAUGUGACCAAGGUCCGGCCCACGGCCGAUCAAAAUUUGGCCGGCACGCCUCCUUUCAAUCACCUUGCCAUGAUCCCUUAUGACCCCGUGAGCCCAGCCACGAGCAUACGCCCAGCUGAUCACGCUACUCCGGGCUCUAUCACUGAUGAACCUUCGGCCUCGUGGCGAUCGAGCCUAAUUGAUGCUGAGCAUUGGCGUUUGCAAAAUGCCGAACGUUGGCAUGCGGAGGAGGCCCACCUUAUUGGUAACUCAUUCUUUGUCACAUCUCGGAAAUCUUCAGAUGGGUCGCAUUCCCCCUCUUCUUGAUGUCGGGUAAAUUCUUGGUUUGGAAUGCAAGGGGGGUAAAAAAUAAGGCGACCCAAUCCCACUUGCGCUUUAUUUGUCGCCAACACAGAGUUAAUUUAUUGGUUAUUUCUGAACCUAUGACUGAGUUUGUGCAUGAUUACUAUUGCCGUCGCUUGGGUUUCGUUGCUGGUUUGUCUAAUUGUGCGGGGAAGAUCUGGAUUUUUUGGGAUCACAAUUUUCGAGUCGAGUUGCUUAGGGAUGAGGUACAAUUAUUGCAUGUCAGAUGCAUAUCUGGUUUAUUUGGUGCUCCUUUUGUAUUUACUGCGGUCUAUGCUAGAUGCUCUCGUUCCGAGCGCCGUGUUUUGUGGAAUUCGUUCCGCGACAUUUUUGAGACGAUUGGUGACACUCCUUGGAUUUCUGGGGGUGACUUCAACUCAAUCUUACUUGAGUCAGAACGGAAUAGAUCGGUUUCGGAUAGAAGACUAGAUAUGGCUGAGUUUGGUGCUAUGGUUUCGGAUUGUGAACUUUCGGAUGCCGGGUUCUCUGGGGCUAGUUCUUGCUAUACUUGGGAGAGCCCUUCAGGUCUUUUGGAGCGUUUGGACAGGAUUCUAUAUAACUCUGCUUGGCUAGAUUUACUGCCUAUUACGCAGGUUACCCACCUCUCACGGACCUGGUCGGAUCAUGCUCCUCUUUUGGUUUCAUCGGCUGCUUCUUCGUCUAGGCCUCCUGCUUCAUUCAGGUUUCAGUAUAUGUGGAUCCGCCACGCUACGUUUCGUCAGAUUGUGGAACAGGUUUGGGAUUUUCCGUGUGCUCAGACGGGGAUGCAUCGAUUACAUACGAAGUUGAGACGAUUGAAACAGAAGCUUCAGUGGUGGAAUUGGAAUGUUUUCGGGGACGUGUUCAAGAAUAAAGAGAGGGCCGAGGCAGCUGUUCUAGAGGCCGAGCACAUAUAUGACUUGGAUCGAUCCCCCGAGAAUCGUGCAAAUUUGAAAAAGGCCACUGCUGAACUUACUCUCAUGCUCAAUAUUGAGGAGGACUUUUUGAAGCAGAAGGCAGCUUGUAGAUGGGCGACUGAUGGAGAGAGAAACUCUAAGUUUUUCCACUCGUUAGUCAAGAAAAAGCGAUGUGUCAAUCGAAUCCACUCUAUCUCUCAUGGUGAUUUGGUUCUCACAUCAGCUCAGGAGAUCAAGGAUUCGGGCGUUGAUUUCUUUAGCAAGCUUCUUACCGAUGAUAUGCCUAGUUUGCUUCCGGUUGAUGAGUCCCUAUUUUCCGCUCCUCAAAGGGACUUUUCUUCAGUCUCUACUCGUCCGUCAGUUGAGGAGAUCAAAGAUGCGGUGUUUGGGAUUUGUCGAGAUAGUGCUUCGGGUCCUGAUGGGUAUUCUUCGCUAUUUUAUCAGCAUUGUUGGGACUUGAUUCAGUGUGAUGUUUGUGAAGCGGUUUGGGAUUUCUUCGAGGGUGGAUCUAUGCCUGCGAGCUUCACCGCUACCACCUUGGUUCUUAUUCCAAAGGUGGACUUUCCGACGGCUUGGACAGAUUUCCGCCCGAUUAGCUUGUGCAACGUGACCAAUAAAAUUAUCACCAAGGUACUUACGAACAGACUGGCACCUCACUUGCCCCACAUUAUUUCUCCUUCUCAUAGUGGGUUUGUUCAGGGUCGCCUCAUUAGUGAUAAUAUUUUAUUAGCACAAGAGAUGGUCCACUCGAUAUCAGUUCGUUGUCGAAAUCCGAAUCUUAUUUUGAAGCUGGAUAUGGCAAAGGCUUAUGAUAGGGUUCAGUGGCGGUUCUUAUUUCGUGUACUCGAGCUGAUGGGUUUCUCGGCGAACUUGGUUGAUAUUAUUCGGCGAUGUGUUUCGUCGUGCCAGUUCUCUUUACUAAUCAACGGGGAGCUGACGGGGUAUUUCACUUCGUCUCGUGGUCUAAGGCAGGGAGAUCCGCUCUCGCUGACUCUUUUUGUACUUGCGGCUGAGUAUUUUUCGAGAGGUCUCGAUGCACUAUACAGCCGUUGCCCAAGCAUGUUUUAUUCUACAAGGGGAGGCAUUCAUAUAUCCCAUUUGGCCUAUGCGGAUGAUGUGAUGAUAUUUACCUCGUGCCAUAAUUUUGGACUGAAGAAGCUGCGGGAUUUUCUCGAUCAUUACUGUCGGACUUCGGGUCAGUUGAUUAGUGUGCACAAGAGCACUUUCACAGUUGAUAGGGCAUGUUCUGAUGGUCAUCUUCGCACUAUUUAUCGGAUUCUCAGUUAUCCGAGAAAGGAUCUUCCUAUCAUUUAUCUUGGAGCACCACUAUACAAAGGGAGGGACCGGGGCAGUUUGUUUCACACUUUGCUUGAUCGCAUGCAAGCCAGGAUUUCGGGAUAGGCUCGGACCGCUUUGGCUUUCGGGGGCCGUCUUGCCUUGAUCCGGAGUACGCUUUCGACUAUGGCUUUGCAUCUUGUUCAGGUUAUUCAACCUCCGCAGUACAUUAUUCAGCAGAUUGAGCAGUGCAUGGCCCGAUUUCUCUGGGGAUCUUAUGGUAAUCAGCGCCGGCCUCAUUGGGUUGCUUGGGAGACGAUUUGUCGGCCAGUUGGUGAGGGUGGCUUGGGGUUGAGGCGUUUGACGGAUGUGAUUGACGCCUUCACUUACAAGCUCUGGUUCCGAUUCCGUGCCCAGGAUUCUCUUUGGGCCCGUUUUCUCCGAAACAAGUAUUGUCAGAAUCGGUUCCCAGGUUCAUCCGUUGUGUCUUCACUCUAUAGCACGGUGUGGAAGCGCAUGUGCCGUGUCCGAGAGCGUGUUCAAGCUCAAAUAUUUUGGCGGAUUGGUCCCGGUCAUGUUUAUUUCUGGCACGACCACUGGUUUGGCGAUGGUCCCCUUUCGGGCAUUAUUGAUGGUGGUCGGCUAACGUCAGUUCGUGUGGAGUAUUAUUUGGUUAACGGUCAGUGGGAUCGAAACAAGCUAGCUGAGGAUAUUCCUUUUGAGUGGAUCGAUAGGAUUUGCUCGGUCCCAAUCUCUGGUGCUUCGGGUGAUUUGCCCAUUUGGAGAGCUUCUUCGGAUGGCAAGUUUUCCUUGACCUCGGCUUGGGCCUUGAUACGACAGCAGCAUACCCCUACCCCUAUUCUUCGUAUAUUUUGGGGAUCUUGUCUUACUCCUACAAUUUCUAUCUUUCUUUGGCGUCUCCUUCUUCAGCGUCUUCCAGUGGAUACCAAACUUCAGUCUCGAGGCACCUCUCUUGCCUCGAGGUGCUAUUGUUGUCCAGAUCCAUCUAUUCCUGUGUCGAGUCUUGUAUCUCAAUCUGUCGAGUCUCCUUCUGUUGAGUCGAUUGAUCAUAUCUUCGUGGAGAGCCCGACGGCUAAGAGGGUAUUGCAUCAUUUUUUCUAUAUUUUUGGCUAUACACCUGCACACACUACGCACAUACCCCAGAUUUUACUUUAUUGGCAGCACUUCACUUCGCACACACUCACACACCACACACACAUCACGACCAUUGUGCCUUGCUUGAUCUUGAGGUACUUAUGGAUUGCAAGAAAUGACAGCAAGCACAAGGAUAUCACGGUUCGCGCUUCUUCCAUCAUUUACAGGGUCAUCCAGCACAUCAGGAUUCUUCACCAAACCAACUUACUUUCGGCGGACAGCUGGACUGGCAUUCCCCACGUGGCUGAGUCUCU
This 7116-nucleotide long non-coding RNA is filed under the name Erythranthe guttata (spotted monkey flower). RNAcentral describes it as "long non-coding RNA (EGUT_LNC000917)". Lineage: Eukaryota; Viridiplantae; Streptophyta; Magnoliopsida; Lamiales; Phrymaceae. The record is from RNAcentral.